This 3225-nucleotide long non-coding RNA is filed under the name Homo sapiens (human). RNAcentral's name for it is "HSALNT0298980". Lineage: Eukaryota; Metazoa; Chordata; Mammalia; Primates; Hominidae. The record is from RNAcentral.
AGUUUCGCUCUUGUUGCCCAGGCUGGAAUGCAAUGGUACGGUCUCGGCUCACUGCAACCUCCGCCUCCCGGGUUCAAGAGAUCCUCCUGCCUCAGCUCCCACUGCUCCAUUCUGCUAGCAGAAACAGGGUCUCACCCCGUCGCACAGGCUGGAGUGCAGUGGCAAAGUCUCGACUCACUGCAGCCUUGACCUCCCGGGCCCAGGUAGUCCUCCCACCUCAGCCUCCCAUGUAGCAGGAACCACAGGCAGGCACCACCAUACCCAGCUAAUUUUUGUAUUUUUUGUAGAGAUGGGGUUUCGCCAUGUUGCCCAGGCUAGUCUUUUCUUUCUUCUUUUUUUUUUUCCCCACAGUAUAUAUUAUACAGCAGUCAUAAUAUCUAUAAAUACAUAGAGUUUAUGUUGUGAAGUUUCCCAGUUCACUGAAAUGUUAGGUUUCCUAAAGGGUACAGUGCCGUAUAAAACAACCUGCCUCAUAUAUUUCUCCUCAAAACGUUGGACUAUUUGGGAAAAGGAAAAGAGUUGGGAAAAUUGGUUUUAAGGUAAGUUUUAGUCAAAAGAAUUCUUUCUUGAAACUAGCUGGUUUGUGGAUUCAGAUACUCUGAUCCUUACAGAAUCCAAGAGGAAGCUUUCAUAAAAACAAUUCAGCAAAUAUUUCCAAUAUAAUUUGAAUGGCUAAUUUUCAGUUGCUAAUUAAUUAGCAGCUUUGUAAUACUUGAUUUGGGAGCAUUUACUUGGAAAUCCUAAGGACUAUAAUAAAAGUUUUCAACAUAUUUCUAAAUUGUGUGAGUUUCCAGCUGUAGCUUUUGUCUUUGUCACAUUUUAAAAAAUAAUAAGCAAGACACAUUGGGGACACUGGCAGCAGUUGCCAGGUUUUAGCUGCCACCGCUUCAGUAUGAGAUAUAGCUGUCCCAUCUUCCCCCAUUCAGGGUAGGAGAUAUAGUGACCCAGACUUCAUGCAAAUGGAAAAAAAGUUUUAACUGAAAUAUUUAUUUAGAUUUCAGGGUCUAGAUGGAUGGGAAAGUAGAAAAACAUAUGCAAAUCUCAGUGUUCUCACUAUGACCACUCUGAGCAGAGAUUUGGUUUUGUUUCCUUUUGUAACAAAGUGAAAACAGGUGAGACAAUGUGCCCAAAACAAAGGGAAGAAGAGAACCUUCUGUGACUCCUAAAAUGUUCCAUGCUGCAUUUUUGUUUCAUUUUUUAUUUUUCCUUGCUUUGUUUUUAAACAUGAAUAUAAUGCUUACUUCAAAUUGUUUAGUAAAACAAAAUAACUAAAGAAAUGUGAGCUUCCCAAGGUUUCUAAACUAUCGCUGUUGUAUAUUCUAUAGCGUUCCUUAUUCUUUGAGGGAAACUGUGCUUGCUGUGAUCCAUUUUGUCUCUAGCUUCUAGUUGUGAUUCUUGUCCAUAAGCACCAAAUUUGAUGCCCAUGAUUUCAAAAGGUCAUUUCUUUUAUCUGAAUGAAAAUGGUGGUACUAAGACUGUGAAAAUUAUGUGAAACCUAAAGUAGUUGCCAAAGUGGCUCAGGGUUGUAAAAUUCAUUGACUUAAUUAUUCAUGUGCCAGAUCAACCCCUUUAUUUUCUCUUUAGCUGUGCAUAUUUAAAAUAUUGGAAAGUAUCAGAUUUACAGAUUUUCUUUGACUAAUUUUUUUCACAUAACUUUAGGAUUUUCGAAAGUUGUAACCAUAACUGGAUAUCUUAGCUGAGCAAAGGCGGUUAUAAUUUGUCUUUUUAAGAUCACUGGAAAUUGAUAAAAUUUUGUGAUAAUUAUGAUUAUUCUGUGCCAUUUACAGUUUCUAAUACUAUACUGUAUGAAAUAUGUAUAAAUAUAUGAUGCUGAGUCUGUGGAAUGAUACUUCUGAAAUCAAAAUUCCUCAUAAGGCAUGAAGUUGUAAAAACUUGAAUGUGUAUAGUUAGAUAUUUAAAUGGUUGCUUCUUCAUAGAAUUGUCUGCUUUUUAAAACUGGAAGUACAGGAUUUUCUUCAGGUAAAAUCUGUGUGUUCCAAUUACAGUUGUAGCUGAAGGAAGUAUGCUUUGGUGAGUCAAUUAGUAUGGGAACUUGACUAAAGACCCCCAGUGUUGUAACGUACCUUUGUACCCAGACAAAACAAUUAUGUUACAUUCCUCAAAGUGGCAUGGGCUUUCUUCUCUAAUUCUUCUGUUUUAUUAGACCCAAGACAAGUUCUAAAAAUUGAAUGCAAUGAGAGAUUGUCCAGAAAUGUAAUAUAUACUAAAAUAUACCACUUAAGCAUUGAUUGCCUUUUCUUGUUUGCUUCAAGAAUAUAAAACUUGUUACUUGAGCUUGGAAUCAUGGGCUUGAUUGAAUUAAUUACUCUUGGGGAAAAAAGACACCUUGUGGCAUUAAGUCUUGCUUUGGUUAAAGCCUUAUUUCACAUAAUUGCUAAAAACUCAUUUUUGUUUAAUAUACUACCUAUAGUUUAAUUAUCGGCACUUGUAUUUUGUAACUUGAUAUCUUACCUAGGAUUGGGAAUUUGGGACAUGACAUGUACUAUAAAAGUCAGUCUAUGUACAUACUGCUUAUUGAUGUGCUGUGAUAUGAGGGAAUCUGAAAUGUUUCAUAAAAAUAAAGCUUAAAAAUUGUCUUACACUGGAUAAAAGUGAUAUUAAGAUAUUAUAUCUAUUGCUCUUCUUUAGUUGGUAUUCAAUAUUUUUAUAUUCUUGUUACUGAAAUAUUCUUUGAAGACCCUAGUUUUUUGUUUUAUUUAUGUGGGGAGGAUACUUAGGAAGCUGUUUGCUAAAUUAAGUAAGUGUUCUGCUUACCGUCAGAAUUGUGAAUAAAUCAGAUCUCAAUUUUUUAAAAUUCCCUCGAAUGGAAAAUUUCAGAGGUACAAAAUGUGAAUUUAUUAUAAAAAAGUAGAUUUUAUACCAUCUGCACAUCUCUAAAUAAAGAAAAUAAAAUGUAGGCCACAAGACCUAGGAACUAAAUGACAAGGCUUGGCCUUUUUUUUUUUUUUUGAGACAGAGUCUUCCCAUAUCGCCCAAGCUGGAGUGCAGUGGCGUGAUCUCUGCUCGCUACAAUCUCUGCCUCCUGGGUUCAAGCCAUUCUCCUGUCUCAGCCUCCUGAGUAGCUGGGAUUACAGGGGCCCGCCACCAUGCCCGGCUAAUUUUUUUAUUUUUAGUAGAGAUGGGGUUUCAACAUGUUGGCCAGGCUGGUCUCGAACUCCUGAUCUCAGGUGGAUCACCUGAGGUCGGGAGUUUGAGACCAGCCUG